CACGUAGUUAGCCGGGGCUUCUUAGUCAGGUACUGUCACUUUCUUCCCUGCUGAUAGAGCUUUACAUACCGAGAUACUUCAUCGCUCACGCGGCGUCGCUGCAUCAGGGUUUCCCCCAUUGUGCAAUAUUCCCACUGCUGCCUCCCGCAGGAGUCUGGGCCGUGUCUCAGUCCCAAUGUGGCCGGCCGCCCUCUCAGGCCGGCUACUGAUCGUCGCCUUGGUGGGCCGUUACCCCGCCAACGAGCUAAUCAGACGCGGGCCCAUCCCAUACCACCGGAGUUUUCCCCAGGAAGCUAUGCAGCCUCCUGGGCGUAUGCGGUAUUAGCAGCCGUUUCCGGCUGUUAUCCCCCGGUAUGGGGCAGGUUCGCCCACGCGUUACUCACCCGUCCGCCACUCAGACAAUUACCGUUCCUCCCGAAGGAACUCCUAGUAACCGCUUCGUCGACUUGCAUGUGUUAAGCACGCCG
RNAcentral lists this ribosomal RNA (467 nucleotides) under uncultured Lachnospiraceae bacterium. RNAcentral describes it as "partial 16S ribosomal RNA". The record is from RNAcentral. Lineage: Bacteria; Bacillati; Bacillota; Clostridia; Lachnospirales; Lachnospiraceae.